Molecule: long non-coding RNA, 915 nt
Filed under: Nicotiana benthamiana
Lineage: Eukaryota; Viridiplantae; Streptophyta; Magnoliopsida; Solanales; Solanaceae
Description: long non-coding RNA (NBEN_LNC004776)
Source: RNAcentral
UGCAGUGUUUGAUCCAUGAGCUCUUUCUUACUUCUUGUUAUAACUUUUGGUGCCUUUUCUGAGUUAUGGAGACCCCUAUUUAUAGUUGUAGAAGGGAAGAGUCAUGAUAGGAACAAACUCUUUCCGAUCAAUCAAAUUGAAGAGUGACAUGGCCGCAUUUGAUUGGCCAGAACAUGUCACUUGCACACGUGGCGCGAUUUCAUUGGCCUUUUAGUGUGACUUGGCAUGUCUUGUCAUUUUGACAUGUGGCAUGAUCCUAUUGGCUUUUCCGUUUGGCUUGGCUCGCCACGUUAUUUGACACGUGGCUGCAAACUGGGCCUCUAGGAAGUGUCAUCUUGGGCUUAAUGAAGUGAGCUCAUCACUUUAGCUCAAUUAAAUGGGCUAGCCCAAUGGAUUAAGACUUAUUUAUUUAAUCCAUACUUGUUGUACUUCUAUAAUUAAUUCAAAUAUAAUUGCCAAUAAAUUUAUUUGAACUAAUAUAUCUUGAAUUUAAAAUUUAGUCUAAAUUAUUUUAUGGAUUUAAUUCUAAUAAAAUUUAUAUGUCUACAAUACUAUAUUGAAAAAAUUAUUGCUAAUUUAUCCAUACUAUAUUGCAAAUUAUAUAGCUAAUUUAUACAUAAUAUAUUGCUAAAUUAAUGCAAAAAAAAUUACCCGAAAAAGGACUACAAAAUCUGUUGCCGGACCACCGUCGGAUGAGAGAAGAGUCACAGAUUCCUUUGCCAAAAACGAUUUAAACAACUUGAGAAAAAGUAAAUAGGGGGAGGAGGGGGUCGGCUGGAGGAGGAAAAUGGAGGGGGAGAGUGAGAGUGAGAGAGAGGGAAAUCAUGUCAAGAUACCUUAUAUUGUUAGAUUAGAGAAGAACAAGAAAUAAAGUGGGUGUUGCAGAUGAGAGGGAGGAUAGGAAAAAAACUAGAG